UGGGGAAUUUUGCGCAAUGGGGGAAACCCUGACGCAGCAACGCCGCGUGAGUGAUGAAGGCCUUCGGGUCGUAAAGCUCUGUCAGUGGGAAAGAAAUGCACGAGGGUCAAUACCCCUUGUGCUUGACGGUACCCACAAAGGAAGCACCGGCUAACUCCGUGCCAGCAGCCGCGGUAAUACGGAGGGUGCGAGCGUUGUUCGGAUUUAUUGGGCGUAAAGCGCGUGUAGGCGGCUUCUUAAGUCUGAUGUGAAAGCCCCGGGCUCAACCUGGGAAGUGCAUUGGAAACUGGGGAACUUGAAUACGGGAGAGGGUAGUGGAAUUCCUGGUGUAGGAGUGAAAUCCGUAGAUAUCAGGAGGAACACCGGUGGCGAAGGCGGCUACCUGGACCGAUAUUGACGCUGAGACGCGAAAGCGUGGGGAGCAAACAGG
This 430-nucleotide ribosomal RNA is filed under the name uncultured bacterium. Its description in RNAcentral is "bacterial SSU rRNA". It matches the Rfam family "Bacterial small subunit ribosomal RNA", at positions 355 to 776 of the family's 1533-position model. The record is from RNAcentral.